RNAcentral lists this ribosomal RNA (521 nucleotides) under Salmonella enterica. Its description in RNAcentral is "bacterial SSU rRNA". It matches the Rfam family "Bacterial small subunit ribosomal RNA", at positions 1012 to 1533 of the family's 1533-position model. The record is from RNAcentral. Lineage: Bacteria; Pseudomonadati; Pseudomonadota; Gammaproteobacteria; Enterobacterales; Enterobacteriaceae.
UGGUGCCUUCGGGAACUGUGAGACAGGUGCUGCAUGGCUGUCGUCAGCUCGUGUUGUGAAAUGUUGGGUUAAGUCCCGCAACGAGCGCAACCCUUAUCCUUUGUUGCCAGCGAUUAGGUCGGGAACUCAAAGGAGACUGCCAGUGAUAAACUGGAGGAAGGUGGGGAUGACGUCAAGUCAUCAUGGCCCUUACGACCAGGGCUACACACGUGCUACAAUGGCGCAUACAAAGAGAAGCGACCUCGCGAGAGCAAGCGGACCUCAUAAAGUGCGUCGUAGUCCGGAUUGGAGUCUGCAACUCGACUCCAUGAAGUCGGAAUCGCUAGUAAUCGUGGAUCAGAAUGCCACGGUGAAUACGUUCCCGGGCCUUGUACACACCGCCCGUCACACCAUGGGAGUGGGUUGCAAAAGAAGUAGGUAGCUUAACCUUAGGGAGGGCGCUUACCACUUUGUGAUUCAUGACUGGGGUGAAGUCGUAACAAGGUAACCGUAGGGGAACCUGCGGUUGGAUCACCUCCUUA